RNAcentral lists this ribosomal RNA (503 nucleotides) under uncultured Steroidobacter sp. RNAcentral's name for it is "partial 16S ribosomal RNA". Lineage: Bacteria; Pseudomonadati; Pseudomonadota; Gammaproteobacteria; Steroidobacterales; Steroidobacteraceae. The record is from RNAcentral.
CACAGAGUUAGCCGGUGCUUCUUAUGUAGGUUAAGUCAGCCUCUUGCAUUAUUAGAGCAAGAGCUUUCGUCCCUACCGAAAGGGCUUUACAACCCGCAGGCCUUCUUCACCCACGCGGCGUCGCUGGAUCAGGGUUUCCCCCAUUGUCCAAUAUUCCCCACUGCUGCCUCCCGUAGGAGUCCGGACCGUGUCUCAGUUCCGGUGUGGCUGAUCGUCCUCUCAGACCAGCUACGGAUCGUCGCCUUGGUGGGCCGUUACCCCGCAACUAGCUAAUCCGAUUUGGCUCAUCCAUCAGUGCCAGGCCUUGCGGUCCCCGGCUUUCCUCCGUAGAGCGUAUGCGGUAUUAGCCCGGGUUUCCCCGGGUUGUCCCCCGCUGAUGGGCAGAUUCCCAAAUAUUCCUCACCCGUCCGCCUCUCGUCAGCAUGUAUUGCUACACCUGUUACCGAUCGACUUGCAUGUGUUAAGCACGCCGCCAGCGUUCAAUCUGAGCCAGGAUCAAACUC